RNAcentral lists this ribosomal RNA (294 nucleotides) under uncultured bacterium. Its description in RNAcentral is "partial 16S ribosomal RNA". It matches the Rfam family "Bacterial small subunit ribosomal RNA", at positions 775 to 1067 of the family's 1533-position model. The record is from RNAcentral.
GGAUUAGAUACCCUGGUAGUCCACGCCCUAAACGAUGAGAACUAGCCGUUGGGGGCAUUAAAGCCUUUGGUGGCGCAGCUAACGCGAUAAGUUCUCCGCCUGGGGAGUACGGCCGCAAGGUUAAAACUCAAAGGAAUUGACGGGGGCCCGCACAAGCGGUGGAGCAUGUGGUUUAAUUCGAUGCAACGCGAAGAACCUUACCUGCUUUUGACAUCCUCGGAAUCCUAUAGAGAUAUAGGAGUGCCUUCGGGAACCGAGUGACAGGUGCUGCAUGGCUGUCGUCAGCUCGUGCCG